Molecule: transfer-messenger RNA, 263 nt
Filed under: Alistipes sp.
Lineage: Bacteria; Pseudomonadati; Bacteroidota; Bacteroidia; Bacteroidales; Rikenellaceae
Description: partial transfer-messenger RNA
Rfam family: transfer-messenger RNA
About the family: Bacterial tmRNA, also known as 10Sa RNA or SsrA, is named for its dual tRNA and mRNA-like properties. Its role is to liberate the mRNA from a stalled ribosome. To accomplish this part of the tmRNA is used as a reading frame that ends in a translation stop signal.
Source: RNAcentral
GGGGGCGACCGGUUUUGACAGCUUGCAGAGUUUGAUUGUAAGCACGUCGAGCAUUGUGUGGUGGCUCGUAAAUAUCAACACUCAAACUACAAAUGGCAAUAAUAGCUAUGCACUCGCUGCCUAAUUUUCAAGGAAAAUUGGCUUAAUCCGCGAGCCCAAGGAGGUUUGCAGACGAGUAUCCCGAGCGGUGGCUUCGCCCUUUAGCUGCUGGUCAUAUGGGGUAUCAUCUUUUAAGGGAUAGUGCGCUAUGCGUCUCGGUUAGC